Musa acuminata AAA Group (dessert banana) is the source of this 614-nucleotide long non-coding RNA. RefSeq lists it as uncharacterized. The transcript is spliced from 3 exons. The record is from RefSeq and is a predicted model, not a curated record. NCBI's taxonomy places the organism in Eukaryota, Viridiplantae, Streptophyta, Magnoliopsida, Zingiberales, Musaceae.
CGAGAAUUCCCCGUUGCACUUUGGUGCUCCUCUUCUUUCAUAUUCCGUAUCUCCACUUUUCCCACUUCCCUCGUCGCCUCGCCUGACGCGUCUCCUUGCGUUCCUCCUCCCGUGUAUCGUUCUAGCAGAGAGCGCCCAUGGUCGACUCUAGGGUUUUCGUCGAGCAGCGAGGGAACCCCGCAAGAUCCGAAGCGGGGAUCUUCUCAAGAAUCCUCGUUGAGAAUUUCAUGCGCCGCCGCUGGCUCGGGAGAUCGAAUUCGGGGAUUGGGUCAACUAUAUUGCCGGCCAGAAUGGGAGUGGAAUGGGUGCGACGAUGACACCCCUAUGUAAGCUAGGGCGUUCUCUUUGAAAGAUUCCAUGAAGAUGGGAUGCAGGGUGAAAUGAAAAAAAUCGGUGCACUCAAUUUCCAGGGCAAUUUACCACCGCAGAGCUACUCACGAUCCUCUCAAUAUUUAUUCUCAUGUCAGGUAAGUCGUGGCCUUACUCUCAUGUCAUGUGGUCGCAAUAGGUCUGUCUGUCUGUCUUUAGCUUGUCCAGUUGACUCGGUGACAUUGAAGUACCCACCUGUUCUUAACAAGAUGUGAUUUAAUGCAUCCGUCGUCAACAAAACUCAA